AUGCUUAAGGCGAAUAAACAUGCAUUGAGGGAAAAAAAGGUACAUUAAGCUACGCACUUCAUGCAACAUGUUUAUAUUUCUGUCCAACAAUAUGAAGCGAUUUGACAUUCAAAGACGACAGUUGUAGGCUACAUUAUGCUAGAGUGGUUUCUAGCCAAUCUGCCUCGCUAACGUCGUAUUAAUUAAUCAGUCUUUCAAAACAGUGUUCGACAGCGUCAUCAGGUGCAAAGGCUAAGCUAACAUUUUUAAUGACUUUUUUCAACUGGUCAUUUCCCCAACACCUUUGAGUGAAUCAUGCUGAAGGAAUGUAAUUGUUCUACAGGAAACUGUAAAUCAGCUUAUCAACAAACUUUGCAUGGAGAAAUUAACUAAUUUGUUUGCAGCCAACAAGCAGCAAUACACGAAGUUAUUGCGUAGGGGACUUGGCUCCCAAAACCACAUUUCCAGUAGCUUUAUUUGUUUGUACAUUUUUGGGAAUUUUACAUUCACUUUCCAAAUGCUCUCUCCUAUCCCAUAAAUCAAUUUGGUUUCAUUUUGACAAGACAAAUAGACUAAAUAGCCCCUGGAAAAUCCCGCCAGAGACUAUUAAACAGAACUGACGGAAGAGUCGCCGGUGCGUGGUGGAGAAGCAACGUGUCUUGAUGGCUCUACUCUCAAGUAGAUCCACCUGUGCCUCCUUCACGUGAGCCUCGUCUUCCCCCUUCUCAGCCAUAUGCUGGUGAACCUGCAAUUUGGAUGGGCUAAUUGACCCAGCUGGCCGUGUGGAUUCUCAUCU
This is a long non-coding RNA of Alosa sapidissima (American shad), 775 nucleotides long. RefSeq lists it as uncharacterized. The record is from RefSeq and is a predicted model, not a curated record. The transcript is spliced from 3 exons. NCBI's taxonomy places the organism in Eukaryota, Metazoa, Chordata, Actinopteri, Clupeiformes, Clupeidae.